GGGCAGCUUUCUGGAGAUCUCUGUGUUCUUAAGUCCUUCCAAAGGCUUUGGGGAACAGUGUUGUACUGCUGGACCGAAGCGAAGAAAUGGUGAUGUGACUGAGUGAGCAAACAGGUGUAUAGUCGUGUAAACCCAGACUGAACUUUGAGCACCUAACAGAAAGCAGACCAAUCAGACGUGGGGAGAUCUGGAUUUCAGGCUCAGGGUGACUCACCUGUCUGAAGUUUGGCCUGAAGGUGUUCUGUGUCUCUCAGAGCCAUGGCCGGUCAGCGGAGCGCUGAGGUGAAGGAGAAAUGCAAGAGGAAGUGGUGGUGAUUUCUCGAGAGCGAGAGCUGGGGCUGUUGAUGAAGCUUUCCAAGAUUGUGCAGGGUCAUCUCCUGCUUCCCUUUUCUGUGAAAGAAACUGCUGCGCUGUACUGUACCCUGGGGCAUGAAGCAGCAGCAAUCUCUGGCUCUGGCAAUGUCGCAGGCAGCCCCCAGCAGGUCAGCUGCAGCCAUCCUCCUCGUUGUGGGAGCAGAGAAUUCCAGGUGCAAGGAAGAAGUCUUGUCCGAAGACACAUGAGGAAUGAGUGUCAAAGCCCACAUGAAAAUCCCUGAGGCCAAAUGUUGUCUUCAAAAGCCCACGUUACCAAUUAUUUGCAUCUUAGUGAUUAUUUAACUGAUGUUAUUCUAUAAACAUCAGUUAUUAAACAUUAGAGAGAAGGGAUGGAGAGUGGUUUCUCUGUGCCAGAGUCUGAUGUCAAGUAUUAUUCAGGCUUCUGUAGGAGCAAGAAACCGUGCAUCUCAGAUUACUUGGCCAAUCUGUUGUCAAAGACUUUUGGGGAAAAAAAACAAGCCAAAUUUUUUUUAUAAGACUCUAAAAGGCUGAAGUCUGUUGUGGAACUGCCUGUAGCCUGCAAAGUUACCUCAACACAUCACAUUCCAAGGUGAGAGCUCCAGCAUCUCUGGCUGAUUUCCCAGUAGGUGUGACCCCGCCUCAAACACUGUGUGCAGGUUUGGGAGCCAUAAUAUAGGAAUGAUAAAAAGGUAUUAGAGAGCAUCCAAAGGAGGGCUAUGAAGGUAGCAAAGAGUCUGGAGGGCAAGUUGUAUGAGGAGCUGCUGAAGUCCUUUGAUUUGUUUAGCCCAGAGCAAAGGAGCUGAGGGGAGGCCUCAUGGUGGCUGCAGCUCCUCACAGGGAGUGGAGGGGCAGCGCUGAGCUCUGCUCUCUGUGACAGCGACAGGGCCCGAGGGAACAGCAUGGAGCUGUGUCAGGGGAGGGGCAGGUUGGGGAUUAGGAGAAGGUUCUUCAUCAAAGCAUGGUUGGGCACUGAAACAGGCUCCCCAGGGCAGUGGUCAUGGUCCCAAGCUGCCUGAGUUCAAGGGGGCAUUUGGACAAAACAGGGUUUGGAUGAUGAUUCUGUGUGGAGCUAGGAGUUGGGCUUGAUAAUCUUUGUGGGUUCCUUCCAACUCGGGAUGUUCUGUGAUUCUAUGUUUCACACUCAUCUUUACUGAUUUCUUGAGCCAAACAACAAUUUAAUUUUUCUUUGCCUGAAGUUACAGUUAAAGGUAAUGAAAUCUGAGACCUGGAGGUUAGUCACAAAGUGUGAGGGUAACUUGCUGCCUGUUCCCUACAGAUGGUGUUCCAAUGGCUGGAGCUUCUUAAAGAAAUAACUAUACUCUGAGGCUUCACCUGUUAGAUUUGGUUAAGUAAGUUUUGCCCUGGCAGCACAAGCUACAAAGGACCUCAGCCAGCUUUAAUCAGAAGAGAUACAGAACAUGUUGCAUUUAGCAGAUUUUUUUUUCUCAGCAUCAUAGAAUAUCCCAAGUUGGAGGGGACUCACAAGGAUCAUUGAGUCCAAGUUCUGGCUCCACAUGGGACCGCCCAAAAAUCAGACCGUAUAUCUGAAAGCGUUGUCCAGAUGCUUCUUGAACUGCAGCAGCUUGGUGCUAUAACCUGCCCUGGGGAGUCUGCUCCAGUGCCUGAUUGCCCUCUGUUGAAGAACCUUUUCUUGUUAUCCAACCUGACCCCGUCCCCUGAGCAUCACCCGAAGCUGGAUUCAUUACACCUGGACUUGUUACAAAAAUGAUCUUGUUACUAUUCACUCUAUUAUAAUUGACUCCCAGGCGUUUGGAAUUUAAACACAAAUACAUUAGGACUGCAAUAAGCUGCUUGUCAUAGAACUAAAUGUUAUACUCCAUUUUCCCAGCUCUAGGAUUUGCUGCAAGCCACGCUUACAGCUUUUAAAAGAUACCGAACUUUUUCUCAGCUAGCAUAGACUCCAUCUCAACCAAAUGGACUUCUGGUAUUUAUUAUUUCCAGGUCUUGUGGGCUAGAGCAGAAGUAGAGAUGGCAGCCUCUGACAGAUGUUCUAAGACUUACAACUGGAAGAUAUUUAAACCAUACGGCAGCCUGCAAGCACCACUGACACCCCCUCCACAGCUGUGUUUUCAGAAGCCUGUCAGUGCAGCAAUGAUUUUUCCUUUAAAAUAAAUAUAUGUAUAUUAUUUUGCAGCAAUUUAACAGGGUCACAGACACUGGAUAAAACUUGAUAGGACCCUUAAACAUUUUGGGGUUUGUUAGGAAUAAUGUGGGAAUCAGCCAUGCUAUUUCCUAUGAUCAUGGCUGAUUGUUUUCUCCCAGCAUCACUUCUUCCUGCCUCCGUACCACACUAUGUGACCACAGUUAUUCAGAUUGGUUUUUGGUCCUUUCAAAGAGGAAAAUUGUCCUGUUUCUUGAUAUUUUUCCAUGCAGCCAGGAGUGCUUCAUGUUAACACUGGUUGACUUCAUGUCACACUGAUGAGUUCUUAAUGUUUCUGUCCUAAUGGGAAACUCUCACUGAGAAAAAUCAGGCUUCACUUUCAUGACUAACAGCAAGGAUUAACUGAAAAAUAAAUUUGGAAAAGCAUAUUCUGGAGUGAGAGAGAUGGAAAUAUGCUGGUUCCCUGGAACUCUGUGGUGGUAUAAACCUUCCCUAGUUCUCAUGUCGGCUUGGUCACAUUCAAACAGGGUUGUGAUAGCUCUGCAUGUACCAGCAGCAGAAAUUUCUGGGUUAGACUGACCUGGCUUGCUGCCACCUCUUUGGCCAUGGAAGCUGUUGCUGAAUUUCCUUGAAGUCAGUGAGAUUACGUUGGCUAAGCACUGCAGCUUCCCAGCAGUAUGCUGGAGGAAAGGACCUGGCCACUCAGUCUUUUAUGUUUGGCUUAAAAUCAGUUGAAAUUAAAAGCAAAUUCCAUCCAUGAUGAACCUCUCUGAAACAGGAUGACAUUUUUCUUCAGUGCUGCAGAAGCUGGAUAUGCUUGUGAUAGCUUCCUGUUUGACCUCUGUACUAGUUUUUGGGUAGUAAUGGGGAUUGAGUCUUGGUGUGCCUAGUGUAUCCUGUAUGCAUAUCUCAGCUGUUGGUCUUGCUUCUUAUCUCUUCUUAUUUACUUCUGACUCUGUAAUAAUUGUGCAGAAUUAAGUGCACAAGGAACGUUGACUGCCCCUUGGGAUCUAGGUUUUUUGUUAGAUUGAUUAUGUCAGAGAACAUAACUC
Long non-coding RNA from Numida meleagris (helmeted guineafowl), 3510 nucleotides. RefSeq lists it as uncharacterized. Lineage: Eukaryota; Metazoa; Chordata; Aves; Galliformes; Numididae. The record is from RefSeq and is a predicted model, not a curated record. The transcript has 3 exons.